Molecule: long non-coding RNA, 447 nt
Filed under: Zalophus californianus (California sea lion)
Lineage: Eukaryota; Metazoa; Chordata; Mammalia; Carnivora; Otariidae
Description: lncRNA (ENSZCAG00015021471.1)
Source: RNAcentral
CACUGGAACAGUCCCUCUUUCUUGCACUGGCUCCCCAGUGUUGGGGCAAAGGGCCUGAGGCUACAGUCCUCCCUCUCACAGGAGCGGCUGCUGAGGCCCGGGGGCUGGGUGUGGACACAAGCCUGCUGCCAACUUCCUAGUCUGUGCUACUUUGAUUAGAAAAUUCUGAGAUCGUUCACGUUUAUUACACGUGGGACCCAAAAACGACCACGAAAGACUGCGUUGGGAGGGAGUGAGAGAAGAGAUUUCAACAAUGGAACAUAGAAUUGUGAAAAUGUAUAUCAGACCCAGAUUCUGCUCACCUAGAGCCACGCCUUCUGUUCUUCAAGGUGCCCUAGAGUGCCUCUUAAGUCUUCAUACAGCAAGACUUUAGAUACGUGAUUUAGAAAUGGAUUAACCCAACAAAGGGUGUUACCCAGUGCAUGCCUGUGGCUGUCUGAAACACAA